AAUAGAUACCCUGGUAGUCCACGCUGUAAACGAUGAGGACUAAAUGUUGGUAGGGGAACCUAUCGGUAUUGAAGCUAACGCGAUAAGUCUUCCGCCUGGGAAGUACGGCCGCAAGGUUGAAACUCAAAUGAAUUGACGGGGGCCCGCACAAGCGGUGGAGCAUGUGGUUUAAUUCGAUGCAACGCGAAGAACCUUACCUACCCUUGACAUCCUGCGAAUCCCGAUGAGAGUUGGGAGUGCCGCAAGGAGCGCAGAGACAGGUGCUGCAUGGCUGUCGUCAGCUCGUGUUGUGAGAUGUUGGGUUAAGUCCCGUAACGAGCGCAACCCUUGUCCUUAGUUGCCAGCAUUAAGUUGGGGACUCUAAGGAGACUGCCGGUGAGGAACCGGAGGAAGGCGGGGACGACGUCAAGUCAUCAUGGCCUUUAUGGGUAGGGCUACACACGUGCUACAAUGGGGCGUACAGAGGGUCGCGAACCCGCGAGGGGGGAGCCAAUCUCAUAAAGCGUCUCGUAGUCCGGAUUGGAGU
RNAcentral lists this ribosomal RNA (526 nucleotides) under uncultured bacterium. RNAcentral describes it as "bacterial SSU rRNA". It matches the Rfam family "Bacterial small subunit ribosomal RNA", at positions 777 to 1304 of the family's 1533-position model. The record is from RNAcentral.